AGUUAGACCAAGCUGAAAUGAGAAGCUAGAGAAGAAGAAAAGUGAACUCUGAGUCCAUCUGUCUGAUGAAAUAAACCAUCUGUUAAAAUAACUACCCAAAGCUGGCUACAACCUCCUACAAUGAAAGCAAGGAGCUUAUGAAUGAAAAACCCAUGAGAGCAAAAGCACCAGCUGUGAGGUGGAGAAAGUGAAGGGGAUGGGAAAAAAAAUGGUAAUGAAACCAAAUGAUCGGAUCGUACUGACAUCUGGGGGCUGGUUGGAUCGGCGGAAAUGCAUAACAUCUGUUGUGCUCCCAUUUGUUGAAAGAAUAAGUUCACCUCAUAACCAGGCCUGCUGGAGGAACUGAAGACGACUUUUGCAGAUGCAGACCCUGAGUGUAUAAAGGCAUGCUGUAGGACUUACUAUGAAACAUUGCGGAGGAAAUACUCUUUGUCUCAGCCAGGAAAGUCCCAGCUAAGAGACUCCAUUAAAAUAGGGGCUAAAA
Molecule: long non-coding RNA, 484 nt
Organism: Polypterus senegalus (gray bichir)
Lineage: Eukaryota; Metazoa; Chordata; Cladistia; Polypteriformes; Polypteridae
Exons: 4
Source: RefSeq, a predicted model, not a curated record